This 147-nucleotide small RNA is filed under the name Marmota monax (woodchuck). The stretch from base 1 to 107 matches the Rfam family "U4 spliceosomal RNA". Rfam says of the family: U4 small nuclear RNA (U4 snRNA) is a component of the major U2-dependent spliceosome. The structure of U4 snRNA from yeast and human has been reported. Lineage: Eukaryota; Metazoa; Chordata; Mammalia; Rodentia; Sciuridae. The record is from RNAcentral.
AGCUUUGCGCAGUGGCAGUAUCGUAGCCAAUGAGGUUUAUCCGAGACACGAUUAUUGCUAAUUGAAAACAUACACAAAGUAAGAAUUAAAAGAUUUUCUUAAAGGGAACAGAUUAGAAUGCCAAAUAUUAGAAAAGGGUUAUGAUUA